Molecule: ribosomal RNA, 478 nt
Filed under: uncultured bacterium
Lineage: Bacteria
Description: partial 16S ribosomal RNA
Rfam family: Bacterial small subunit ribosomal RNA
Source: RNAcentral
GACGAACGCUGGCGGCGUGCUUAACACAUGCAAGUCGAACGGUAAGACCCUUCGGGGUACACGAGUGGCGAACGGGUGAGUAACACGUGGGUGAUCUGCCCUGCACUUCGGGAUAAGCCUGGGAAACUGGGUCUAAUACCGGAUAGGACUCCGGACUGCAUGGUCUGGGGUGGAAAGCUUUUGCGGUGUGGGAUGGGCCCGCGGCCUAUCAGCUUGUUGGUGGGGUGAUGGCCUACCAAGGCGACGACGGGUAGCCGGCCUGAGAGGGUGACCGGCCACACUGGGACUGAGAUACGGCCCAGACUCGUACGGGAGGCAGCAGUGGGGAAUAUUGCACAAUGGGCGCAAGCCUGGUGCAGCGACGCCGCGUGAGCGAUGACGGCCUUCGGGUUGUAAACCUCUUUCAGCAUCGACGAAGCGAAAGUGACGGUAGGUGCAGAAGAAGGACCGGCCAACUACGUGCCAGCCGCCGCGGUAA